This 666-nucleotide ribosomal RNA is filed under the name uncultured beta proteobacterium. RNAcentral's name for it is "bacterial SSU rRNA". It matches the Rfam family "Bacterial small subunit ribosomal RNA", at positions 770 to 1440 of the family's 1533-position model. Lineage: Bacteria; Pseudomonadati; Pseudomonadota; Betaproteobacteria. The record is from RNAcentral.
AAACAGGAUUAGAUACCCUGGUAGUCCACGCCCUAAACGAUGCUGACUAGUUGUUCGGGAUUUACAUCCUGAGUAACGUAGCUAACGCGUGAAGUCAGCCGCCUGGGGAGUACGGUCGCAAGAUUAAAACUCAAAGGAAUUGACGGGGACCCGCACAAGCGGUGGAUGAUGUGGAUUAAUUCGAUGCAACGCGAAAAGCCUUACCUACCCUUGACAUGUCACUAACGAAGUAGAGAUACAUUAGGUGCUCGUAAGAGAAAGUGAACACAGGUGCUGCAUGGCUGUCGUCAGCUCGUGUCGUGAGAUGUUGGGUUAAGUCCCGCAACGAGCGCAACCCUUGUCUUUAGUUGCUACGCAAGAGCACUCUAAAGAGACUGCCGGUGACAAGCCGGAGGAAGGUGGGGAUGACGUCAAGUCCUCAUGGCCCUUAUGGGUAGGGCUUCACACGUCAUACAAUGGUGCAUACAGAGGGUUGCCAACCCGCGAGGGGGAGCUAAUCUCAGAAAAUGCAUCGUAGUCCGGAUCGUAGUCUGCAACUCGACUACGUGAAGCUGGAAUCGCUAGUAAUCGCGGAUCAGAAUGUCGCGGUGAAUACGUUCCCGGGUCUUGUACACACCGCCCGUCAUACCAUGGGAGUGGGUUUUGCCAGAAGCCGUUAGCCUAACC